UGCGUAAGAAGGUAACCGAAGACUCCUACGGGAGGCAGCAGUAGGGAAUCUUCGGCAAUGGACGAAAGUCUGACCGAGCAACGCCGCGUGAGUGAAGAAGGUUUUCGGAUCGUAAAACUCUGUUGUUAGAGAAGAACAAGGACGUUAGUAACUGAACGUCCCCUGACGGUAUCUAACCAGAAAGCCACGGCUAACUACGUGCCAGCAGCCGCGGUAAUACGUAGGUGGCAAGCGUUGUCCGGAUUUAUUGGGCGUAAGCGAGCGCAGGCGGUUUCUUAAGUCUGAUGUGAAAGCCCCCGGCUCAACCGGGGAGGGUCAUUGGAAACUGGGAGACUGAGUGCAGAAGAGGAGAGUGGAAUUCCAUGUGUAGCGGUGAAUGCGUAGAUAUAUGGAGGAACACCAGUGGCGAAGGCGGCUCUCUGGUCUGUACUGACGCUGAGCUCGAAGCGUGGGGAGCAACAGGAUUAGAUACCUGGUAGUCCACGCCGUAACGAUGAGUGCUAGUGUUGGAGGGUUCCGCCCUUCAGUGCUGCAGCAACGCUUAACACUCGCCUGGGAGUAGACCGCCAGGUGAACUCAAGGAUUGACGGGGCCGCACAGCGGGGAGCAUGUGUUUAUUCAAGCACCCAAGACCUUACAGUCUGACUCCU
RNAcentral lists this ribosomal RNA (650 nucleotides) under Enterococcus faecalis. RNAcentral describes it as "bacterial SSU rRNA". It matches the Rfam family "Bacterial small subunit ribosomal RNA", at positions 314 to 989 of the family's 1533-position model. The record is from RNAcentral. Lineage: Bacteria; Bacillati; Bacillota; Bacilli; Lactobacillales; Enterococcaceae.